Molecule: long non-coding RNA, 511 nt
Organism: Oncorhynchus tshawytscha (Chinook salmon)
Lineage: Eukaryota; Metazoa; Chordata; Actinopteri; Salmoniformes; Salmonidae
Source: Ensembl
AGGAUGCGGUCUCUUAAAGCCCCUGCCACCGGUGUCCUUGCCAGCCUCCAUCAAUCGCCCGGCGAUGGGCGGAACAGAGGAAGAGAGGGGCGAUAGAUGAAGUGAAAACUUUUCGAGUGUCGGCGGAACUGGGCCACAGCAUCCGAGCUGGGAGACCUGAGAGAAGAGAUGGGAGAGGGCGGCUCCGCUGACUGGAGGAGUACCAGCUGGUCUCAAACAGCUGACAGUUGGAGCCAGGCAGGGUCACCUCCCAUCACCUCCCAGGGGUGUGUGGGUACAGCUCCGGAGCUUCAGAGCCCAUGCCCAAGCGGUUCCUGACUUGCCCAGCGAGGAGGAGUGAAGUAUGGGGAGAUCCGGGCCGCUCUGCUGGGAGUGGGGCCGCUGGCCUGGAGGUACCCCCGGCCUACUCACUUUAGGCCAUGCGAGACGCAGUCUGCCAGGCCCGCCAUGACCCCCUCAAAGUGGCGGGUGCACGAGGAGCCGAGCGGUCACUGAUGCCGUUGAGCCCUGU